Molecule: ribosomal RNA, 323 nt
Filed under: uncultured eukaryote
Lineage: Eukaryota
Description: partial 18S ribosomal RNA
Rfam family: Eukaryotic small subunit ribosomal RNA
Source: RNAcentral
CCCUUAGAUGUUCUGGGCCGCACGCGCGCUACACUGAAUGGAUCAACGUGUUUUCCCUUCCCGAGAGGGACGGGUAACCCGCUGAACCCCAUUCGUGGUAGGGAUCGGAGCUUGCAAUUGUUCUCCGUGAACCAGGAAUUCCCAGUAAGCGCAAGUCAUAAGCUUGCGUUGAUUACGUCCCUGCCCUUUGUACACACCGCCCGUCGCACCUACCGAUUGAAUGGUCCGGUGAACCCUCCGGAUCGGCCCGCGCCAACGCAAGUUGAGCAAAGGCCGAGAAGUUGGGUAAACCUUACCAUUUAGAGGAAGGUGAAGUCGUAACA